UACGGGGGGGGCAAGCGUUGUUCGGAAUUACUGGGCGUAAAGGGCUCGUAGGCGGCCAACUAAGUCGGACGUGAAAUCCCUCGGCUUAACCGGGGAACUGCGUCUGAUACUGGAUGGCUUGAAUCCGGGAGAGGGAUGCGGAAUUCCAGGUGUAGCGGUGAAAUGCGUAGAUAUCUGGAGGAGCACCGGUGGCGAAGGCGGCAUCCUGGACCGGCAUUGACGCUGAGGAGCGAAAGCCAGGGGAGCAAACGGG
This 253-nucleotide ribosomal RNA is filed under the name uncultured bacterium. RNAcentral's name for it is "partial 16S ribosomal RNA". It matches the Rfam family "Bacterial small subunit ribosomal RNA", at positions 524 to 776 of the family's 1533-position model. The record is from RNAcentral.